UUGGCCUCUCCUAACAAGCAGGUCGGACCUGCUGUAUCUGAUGCUCCUCUGACUCCCACCACAUGUGGCCGCUGCCACUGGAGCUGUGGCCUCCAGAUCAGAGCGGAGCGUUUGGCUCAGGAAAUGCCUGCAGACAGACACGGAGAGCUGGGGCGCACUGCCCCCCUGGCUGCAGUCUUCAGCCACAUUCCGUGAACAGAGCCCAACUCUGACUCGGGGUACCCCUCGGGGAUGGAAGAACAAAUGUACUUAGGGCAGGCAUUGCCACUCUGGAAAAACUGGAUCCACCUGCGGGUGCUGAGCCUGUAGCAGCCCUCAGACAAUCCGUGCCCCCCGGCUGGAAGUCUGAGUCCUUAAGUACACAGAGGAGAAAUAUGCAGAGUUAUGAAGAGACAUUCAUGCUCCUCCGGGGACCUCGGGGACUGGUGGAGCUCUGCAGCAGGAUGGUAUGUUCAGCACGAUUGGAACUAUCAGCUGGCUCAGCCCUGAAACCUCAGGACAUUGUGUACGCUGCUUAAACCCAGGGUGGAUGGAAGAUAAAUUAUCCAACAAAAGGAUUUACAGCACUGAAGGAAUUGAAAAUUCAGAGAUUCUUCCUUUUUCCCCUCAUCCAUCUGACUGCACCUUGCCUUUAGAAGAGGAUUCCCAAGAGUCUAUGUGCACUGUGAAGCUGUGAGACAGGUAACAUGGCCAGACACAGCUUGUGCCUAGUUCUCCCCAGUGCUGGCUCCAGCCUUAGCACCUGUCAGUUUGUGGGAGAAGCCUCUGCUGAGCACCGAGCUCCAGCUGGGAAAUAAUUCCCUUGUGGUCAGUUUUUUUUAGGCUAUAUGUUGCCUAAGUUAGGUGCAAACAGAGGGCAGAAAACACUUCAGAAAUUCCAGUGAAUUGUUUGUAGUUUAACACUGCUAAACCCAACCUGCCUGGCCCAGUUUCAGACAUAAUCCUUCAGGGAAAACCUGCUGUUAAGAAAACAACCAUUAUCUUAUCUUCAGCCUUUGGAAACAUUAACAUCAGUCUUGUAUAAUGAUUCAAAGGUCUACCUCUAUACAGUGACAGCUAUGGAAAGAGACCCAUCCUAGAUGACUGAAUAAACUUGCCUACCUCUGAACUAGAAUGUCUUCUUCAUGAAAAAGACUGCAGAAUAAAUCAAGGUGAUUUGAA
Pogoniulus pusillus (Red-fronted tinkerbird) is the source of this 1161-nucleotide long non-coding RNA. RefSeq lists it as uncharacterized. The transcript is spliced from 2 exons. The record is from RefSeq and is a predicted model, not a curated record. NCBI's taxonomy places the organism in Eukaryota, Metazoa, Chordata, Aves, Piciformes, Lybiidae.